AAUAUCACCAUGUAAUAAAUAAUAAUAAUAACCACAAUAAUCCCAGCUUGAUGGGGGCCCUGCUGGUUAGAGAAUGUUCUAGCUAGGUUACCAGAUGGAGAACUGUAAUGAGGCUCAUUCCCUGGUAAUUUAAGAAAUGAAGGCAGCAUCACUUUUUGCCUCUCAUCACCUUUCCCUUCCCUUUAUUUCUCAGCAUCCUGAUGUCUUCUGGCUGUGGCAAGCAAUCUCUCUCUCCCAGCUCCCUCCCUUCCCUCUCCCUCCUUCCUCCCCCACCCCCAUUUUUAUCUCUCCUGGAGCCUAAGCUGUUAGUGUUUUGCUGCUGGGAAUCCUGGCGUUGUGCAAGGUCUUUACACGUAUCUUAUCAAGUGAGCCCUGUGCCGUCUCUUAAAUCCCCGUGGUAGGAAGAUGUCAAGACAUUGGCUACAGCCAAUGAGGUGUCAGAGGGUUUCUAAUGCCGUAUAGACAUGUGGUGGAUUGAUCCUCUUCUCUCCCCAAAUGUAUCCUGGUUUCCUUAGCAGAAAAGUUAAGUCAGAACUUUUUUCUUAUUUGAAUUUAGUCAGGCAGGUGGUUCCAGAACCUUCCUUCUCCAGGUCCUGAGCACCUACACACCCGAGCUUUGGGAGACCACCAUCGCCACCAUCCACAGGCUGCAACAGAGAUGCUUCCUGCUUCUGUUUGCGUCUCAGCAAUGUCCCCGUCUUUUCUGCUGAAAAUUCUCUUUCUUUAUGGAUGUUCCUUCCCACUUUCUCCUUCCUCCCCUCAUCAGGUACUUUAAAGGGUCUAAUUCUUGCGCAGAAUUAAAGCUAACGGAAGAUACCCAAUCAGGCCGAUUCUCCAUGCUUACUUCGAGGUGACAGGUUAACAACAGGAAACAGAGAACAAUCAUGAGUCGUCACCCUCUGGAUGCUACUGUAAGAACAACUGGCCUCAAAAGUAGGGGAGAGAAACGUGUCCUAGAGACCUGAGUAGAGGCAUCCACCCUGCUGUGUGACCCGCCAGCGUCUGACCUUCACUCACCUCGGGAUUUAACACGCUCUCGGACAACUGAUUUUAACUGCAGAUUUUCCCCAUCAACACAGUAACCCACCCUCCUGCCCACCACCACCACGCCAGGAUUGAGUCCGCCCCAUUCACCCGUGCAUUUCCAGAGUCAAGCUCAGUGCCUGGCUCAGGGUCUUCAGAUCCCAGACUAACACCUUGAUUGCUGCAUUGCAAGGGACAGAGGGACCCAGUUGAGCUGCAUCUGGAUUUCUGACCCACCCAAACUAACACAAAGUGGCUUGCAGAGCCCAUAUCCAUUUGAAUAAAGACAGAACAACCACUGCAGCAAAAGCUCAGCUGCCAGAUGCUCUGCUUGUUGACUCGGUUGAAUUUCUAUCACCCUCUACAGUCUCUGGGUGAGGACUUCGCUCAUCUGGGGACUCCUGAUAGUUUUGGAAUUAAAAAUUGGAUUCCAAAUGGUAGAGAUUUAAUUCCUAAACACACCGAAAGAGAUGAUGCCAAGUAUUCAAUUUAGAUAUCCUUUGGUUGUAAAUAAAGACUUAUGAUU
Long non-coding RNA from Bubalus bubalis (water buffalo), 1549 nucleotides. RefSeq lists it as uncharacterized. The record is from RefSeq and is a predicted model, not a curated record. NCBI's taxonomy places the organism in Eukaryota, Metazoa, Chordata, Mammalia, Artiodactyla, Bovidae. The transcript is spliced from 3 exons.